Molecule: ribosomal RNA, 447 nt
Filed under: uncultured bacterium
Lineage: Bacteria
Description: bacterial SSU rRNA
Rfam family: Bacterial small subunit ribosomal RNA
Source: RNAcentral
UGGGGAAUAUUGGACAAUGGGGGCAAGCCUGAUCCAGCCAUGCCGCGUGAGUGACGAAGGCCUUAGGGUUGUAAAGCUCUUUCGGCGGGGAAGAUAAUGACGGUACCCGCAGAAGAAGCCCCGGCUAACUCUGUGCCAGCAGCCGCGGUAAUACAGAGGGGGCAAGCGUUGUUCGGAAUCACUGGGCGUAAAGCGCACGUAGGUGGAUAGUUAAGUUCGGGGUGAAAUCCCAGGGCUCAACCCUGGAACUGCCUCGGAUACUGGCUAUCUCGAGUCCGGAAGAGGUGAGUGGAAUUCCUAGUGUAGAGGUGAAAUUCGUAGAUAUUAGGAAGAACACCGGUGGCGAAGGCGGCUCACUGGUCCGGUACUGACACUGAGGUGCGAAAGCGUGGGGAGCAAACAGGAUUAGAUACCCACGUAUUCCCUGAGCGGGCUGGCAAGGCGCAU